RNAcentral lists this small RNA (135 nucleotides) under Arabidopsis thaliana (thale cress). Its description in RNAcentral is "ATSL031470". The record is from RNAcentral. Lineage: Eukaryota; Viridiplantae; Streptophyta; Magnoliopsida; Brassicales; Brassicaceae.
CUAUCUCGAUUCUUACUUGAUCUAAUCUACCCAAAAGAUCAAACCCGACUAAAAAUAACUAAGCCCUAAUUCUCUUCUCUGUUUCUUAUCACUAACUCGUGAAGACGAAGAGAACUACACACUCACCUCCAAGCU